RNAcentral lists this long non-coding RNA (5069 nucleotides) under Gossypium barbadense (sea-island cotton). RNAcentral describes it as "long non-coding RNA (GBAR_LNC022332)". The record is from RNAcentral. Lineage: Eukaryota; Viridiplantae; Streptophyta; Magnoliopsida; Malvales; Malvaceae.
GCAUUGUUAAAGUAGGAAUUUAUUUUGAUGAAUUUUUUUAAAACCCAAUGUUUUUCUUUUUGAGUAACGGUUCGUUUUGAUUCAUAAUAGGCUUAGAAGACCAAAAUAAAAGAACACAAAAUAUCUAAAGCAAAGCCUAUAAUGUUUCAACAGAACAGAAAAAGAAAACAAAACCCAACGUAAUCCAAAAACAACUUCCAGUCCCUUCGGUUACCAGCUAUUACAAAACGGCCAAAUCCUCCAAAAUCCGGUGAUCUGAACAACCAGACAAGAAGGGGGUUGAGUUUUACUUAUGGCGUGUGAAAAUUCUCAACCCGGAAUUUUAAAGAGCAGAAGAAAAGGCUAUGGUGGUCAAUUGAAACGUUGGUCAGAAUCUGCCGUUUCCAAAGUUGGUACUGGAGCGUCUUCAACCCAGAAAAAGUCUUCAAAUCUUUUCAACCCUUCGACUGCCAUUGCAUGCGCCGCAAAGUUCCCGUCUCUUGCAAUAAAUUCAAAUCUGCAUGAGGAAAAAUUCCUUGUUAGAGCCUUCGCAUCCCAGGUAAGGGGUUUAAUCUCCGAAUAAUCUUCUUUUGACAAUUGGAGAAUUUGAAUAACUAGUUUAGUAGUGGCAAAUCUAGGGGGCUAGCAGGGGCCCAGCCCCCUAAAAUGUAAAAUUUCUAUUUAGGCCCUUGAGAUUUUUUAAAAAUUUUAAAUUAGUAAAGGUAAAAUUACACUUUGCCCCCCUUAAAAUUAUAAAAAUUCUAUUUAAUCCUUUAAAAAUUAUAAAGAUAUAGACUAUAAAAAAAAUUAAAAUUUCAUCUAAUCCCCCUAAAAAAUUGUUCUAGCUCCGCCCUUAUAGUUUAGAAUUAUUUUCUAGAAUAAUGUUCGAAAAGCUCAUCUUCGGCGCAAACUAUAGCCCAUGAAACCACUGUCGCUUCAGCUAACACCACCAAUCUAGCCAGUUCUAAACCCUGAGCCCAUAAUGAGCCAUUCAUCAUUUCUUAUUAUAAAACCUGAUGCUGCAUGUUGUCUUGCUGCAGAAAAGCCUGUAUCAACAUUAAUUUUGACCCAAUUCGGAGGAGGGGGCACCCAUUUAUUCAAAUAUCUUAGUCUGGGAUGCUAUAAAAUUGAUGAUAUCCACCGAAACUCCCUACCAAAGCCCCUGAUAAAGGCAACCACUCCUUCUAUGCUUUGCAUCUUUUGUUCAUGAACGAAUUUGUUGCGAGAAAACCCAAGUGGCCAAAUUGUAAUUGCAAUUUCAUCUUUCUUGUCACUAGCUGAAUUUUCAAAGAGCCAGUUUAACCAAUUAGUAAAACACAUAACUGCUACUGAAUUCGACCACAGAUAAUUUAGGGUCUGUUUGAUUGAAUGAAUUGAUUUUCCGAAAAAUCAUUUCCAACUUUUCCAGCGUUUGAUUGGCGGAAAACAUUUUCCAUUUGGAAAAUGAACUCCAAAACAAGGGAAAAUGGGUUACAUUUUAGGGAAAAUGUCUUACCCUUUCAAUUUCCGUAAGACAUUUUCCGUGCUCUCCUCUCUAUCGCCUCCUUCAUUCCUUCCUUCAUUUCCGGUAGAAAAUUGCUUCUGUUUAUCGAUUUUCCAGUAACUUGUUUUUUUAAUUAUUCAAUACUUGUUUUUUUAACACAAUUACAAAUAAUUUAUUUGAUAUUAAUUUUUUUCAAUUUAUAACGAUUAAUAUUGUAGCUUAAUAAUUGAGUAUUAUUAUAAAUAAAUCAUUGCAAUAUAUGUAAAAAUAAUUUAAAAUAUAAAAAUUUAUUAAUAUAUAUCAAUAUAUGUAAAAACAAUUUUUUCGAAAAAUAUUUCCAGGAAAUCUGCCAAACAGCCGAAAAUAUUUUACACAGAUUCAAUCAAACAACAGAAAAUAUUUUCCAGUAAACCAUUUUACAGAAAAGUAAAACAUUUUUCCGAAAUUAUUUUACGGAAAAUAUUUUACUGGCAAUCAAACAGACCCUUAAUUUGAACCAAACUUGCAAAGCAAACGUGCAAUCACGAACAACAUGGGUAGAAGAUUCACUACAACCCUAACAACGCGGACAUUUAUUAUCUGUCAUUAUUCUUCUAAAAUGUUAAUUCUGAAAUGUGGGAAUAUAAUUUUUCGCAAAUUUCCAUACUAAAAUGCGAUAUUUUUUAUGGACAUGCUAAACUCCAAAUUUGCUUAAAAGUAUAUUUCUCUGCUAAACUCAAAUUUAGAAGGCUCAAUGAGAAUUUUAUAUUCGCUUUUUACUAAAUAGAUGCUCAAAUUUUCACUAGACCAUACUACCUUAUCAGAUUGAUUAGUAAUAGGUAGAGGAAUACUCACAAUUAAAUUUCCUUCUUCUUCCAUGAAUGUUGAGUAGAUUAAUUCGCUGUUCCAUCUAUUUGGAUUAUAUAGAAUCAGAUCACUGACACACUCCAUGCCUGUUACCCUAUUCGUAGUAAUUAGGAUUCUAUUUUUUUCCCAGUAACCAAUAGUCCUGCCAGAUUGAUACAGAACUCCCCGACCUUAUCCUCCAUCUCAGCCUAGAUUUUAACAAACCUUUAGCGCAUCAAAUGCUUCUCCACACAAGCGAUGGAUUUGCACCCAAAGAGGCCUCCAGAAAAUUUAACCCGUUGCAAUAUUUCGCACAGAUCAAUUGAGCUGUUAAUGAUCCAGGAUUUUCCAGCAAUCUCCAACCUUGUUUUGCUAAUAAAGCAAUAUUGAAUUUGGAUAAGUCACGGAACCCCAUCUAGAACACCAAUGCAAACCAUUCCUCCCUAUUUUCUUUUGUCACCAAAAUUUAGGAAUAACAAAUUCUAGAUCCUUGCAAAAAGAUGUUGGAAGUAGGAAACAAGCCAUUACAUACAUAGGGAUGGCUUGCAAAAUAACUUUGAUUAACACUUUCCUCCCAGCCACCGAAAGCAUUAUCAAACUCCAGCUAGAAACCCUUUUAAUCAACUUUUCUUUUAUCUCCCUAAAAGCCUCAUUUUUGUUUUACCCUACAAUUGAAGAAAGGCCAAGAUGGGUUGAUACUUGAGUUGACCUCCAAGAUUCAACAAACCUUUUCUUUACUAUUCUGUUUAACAUUAGAGCUAAAAAGCACUCCAGAUUUAUCAAAUUUUAUUACUUGACCAGAACUAUGAGCAUAAAUCUCCAAAUUAUCUUUAAGUGCCUUAGCCCCAUCAGAUGUUGUAUCUUCGAAAAUAAGACUAUCAUCUGGAAAAAAUGAGUGAUAAGAGAACUAUGAGCAUAGUAUUGAACUUACUUAUAUUGAAUUGUACGUGAAUUAAAUGGAAAUUGCUAGUGAUAUGAUUUGAAUUGUGAGCAUGAGAAAUUGUGAACUAAAUGAAAUGGAAAUGAAGCAUUGAAUUGCAUGGGUAUGUAUCGGGUCUCGUAGGCCCUAUUUAUUAUGAAUAUAAUAUUUUGAGGAUAUAUUGUGAAAAAUUAUAAAAGCAUGUUAAAAAAUUUGAAAGUUUUAAUUUAGAUGAAAUUUUAUAAUACGAUUAAAUACGUUUACAAGCGUUUGUGUUCUGGUAAUGCCUCGUACCCUAUUCUGGUGUCGAAUACGGGUAAGGGGUGUUACAUUUAGUGGUAUUAGAGCUAUGGUUUAGUCGAUUCUCGGACUAACAUAGCGUAUAUGUGUUUAGCUAUACAUUUCAUAUUAUUACCAGAAGGAAAAAAUAAUUUUGAGAAAAUUUCAUUCAAAAAUUUCGUCGUUUAGACACUCAAUUUAGUCAAAAGGACUAGAUUGUAAAAAGUGCAAAAGUUGAGAUCUACAUGUUAGAAGUGUCUAAUUUUUAUGAAAUUUUAAAUUAGAGGUCCUUAUAUGGUAAUUAGACCAUUGGUUAAGUUGGUGGACAAAAAUGGACAUGGUUAGGCAUGUUUCCAAAGUUUUUCAUUAAGGGUAUUUUGGUCAUUUAGUUAUUAAAAUGAAUUAAAAACAAAAUUAAAAGCCAAUUUUUGUCCAUCUUCAACCCCUAGGCCAAAAAUUACAUGGAGAAACCAUGGAUAGGGUUUUUCAAGCUUCCAAGCUCGAUUGUAAGUCCGUUCUAGCCCCGUUUUUUAAUGAUUUUUACGUUUUUAAAAUCCUCGUAACAAGAUUUACCCAUUUUUACCAUUAUUUUGAACUAGGGUUUGUGUUUAAAAAUUUACCCAUGAAUUAUAUGCAUGUAUUUUGAUGUUUUAUGGAAUAAUAUGAAUGUUUAGAGUGUGAUGAACGUCUUUUACUAAGUGAUUUUCGAUCAAAAUGCCUAAAAGGAUUAAUUUGUAAAAGUUAUAAAAUAUGUCACAAGUGUGUGAAUAAGUGAGAAUUGUGGAGUGCUAUAGUUGUGAAAAUGGUUCGGCUAGGCCUAAAAUGCAAGGAAAUUGAAUAAAAAUUAUUUUACGAGGCUAAGGGUAAAAUUGUAAUUUUGUGAAACUUUAGGGGCAAAAAUGUAAUUUUUCCAAAGUAUGAUUUUUGUACUAAAUUGAAUAAUGCGAGGUUAAGUAAGUUAAAUGUGUUAUUAUAAAUCAAGAAAGACGAGAAAUUGGCUUAGAUCAGUGAAAAAGAAAAGUGAGAAAUUUCCCAGUUGAACCUCCGGAAUAGAAAAGAUACGAAUAAAGUGACAAUAAUGAUCACAUGUGUGGCAUGGGCUGUGUGCAGGCCACUGUGUGAAAGAGAUAGUAAUGGUCACGUGUGUAGUACUAUGUGCAGGCUACUACGUCUACCGGGUACCAGUGAUUAUAAAGGUGGUUGUUGUGUGCUGAUUCCACCGGGUAUCAUUGAUUAUAAAGGUGGUUGCUGUAUGCUGGUUCCACCGGGUACUAUUGAUUAUGAAGGUCAUUGCUAUGUUCUGAUUCCACCGAGUAUCAUUGACUAUAAGGAUGGUGCUAUGUUCUGAUCCACCGUGUAUCUGUUAUUAUUCCGAAGUGUUCAUUAGGAAAUUGACUAAGUGAAAAUACAUGAGAUCAUGUAAUGACUAAGUGUAAUUGAAUAUGACUAUGUGAUGAAUGAGUGCAGGUAUAAGUGUGAAACUUUAUGAACAAUGUGCUUGAUCUUUGAUCAGACCAUCGGUAAGAUGCAGUGGAGUAAGUGAAAUUAUGAAAAAGUAAAUUUAGCAAUAAAACAGUUUUGGAC